RNAcentral lists this ribosomal RNA (484 nucleotides) under uncultured bacterium. RNAcentral's name for it is "partial 16S ribosomal RNA". It matches the Rfam family "Bacterial small subunit ribosomal RNA", at positions 30 to 507 of the family's 1533-position model. The record is from RNAcentral.
AUUGAACGCUGGCGGCAGGCCUAACACAUGCAAGUCGAGCGGAUGAAGGGAGCUUGCUCCUGGAUUCAGCGGCGGACGGGUGAGUAAUGCCUAGGAAUCUGCCUUGUAGUGGGGGAUAACGUCCGUACACGGGCGCUAAUACCGCAUACGUCCUUAGGGAGAAAGUGGGGGAUCUUCGGACCUCACGCUAUCAGAUGAGCCUAGUUCGGAUUAGCUAGUUGGUGAGGUAAAGGCCUACCAAGGCGACGAUCCGUAACUGGUCUGAGAGGAUGAUCAGUCACACUGGAACUGAGACACGGUCCAGACUCCUACGGGAGGCAGCAGUAGGGAAUAUUGGACAAUGGGCGAAAGCCUGAUCUAGCCAUGCCGCGUGUGUGAAGAAGGUCUUCGGAUUGUAAAGCACUUUAAGUUGGGAGGAAGGGCAGUAAGUUAAUACCUUGCUGUUUUGACGGUACCAACAGAAUAAGCACCGGCUAACUUCGUG